Molecule: ribosomal RNA, 247 nt
Filed under: uncultured marine bacterium pM-55
Lineage: Bacteria; Pseudomonadati; Pseudomonadota
Description: partial 16S ribosomal RNA
Rfam family: Bacterial small subunit ribosomal RNA
Source: RNAcentral
GGAACUAUAAGGAGACUGCCGGUGAUAAACCGGAGGAAGGUGAGGACGACGUCAAGUCAUCAUGGCCCUUACGAGUAGGGCUACACACGUGCUACAAUGGGAGAUACAGACGGACGCUAAGCCGAGGUGGUGCUAAUCCUAAAAAGUCUUUCGUAGUCCGGAUUGGAGUCUGCAACUCGACUCCAUGAAGUCGGAAUCGCUAGUAAUCGCGGAUCAGCAUGCCGCGGUGAAUACGUUCUCGGGUCUU